Molecule: ribosomal RNA, 930 nt
Filed under: Escherichia coli
Lineage: Bacteria; Pseudomonadati; Pseudomonadota; Gammaproteobacteria; Enterobacterales; Enterobacteriaceae
Description: partial 23S ribosomal RNA
Rfam family: Bacterial large subunit ribosomal RNA
Source: RNAcentral
GGAGCAGCCCAGAGCCUGAAUCAGUGUGUGUGUUAGUGGAAGCGUCUGGAAAGGCGCGCGAUACAGGGUGACAGCCCCGUACACAAAAAUGCACAUACUGUGAGCUCGAUGAGUAGGGCGGGACACGUGGUAUCCUGUCUGAAUAUGGGGGGACCAUCCUCCAAGGCUAAAUACUCCUGACUGACCGAUAGUGAACCAGUACCGUGAGGGAAAGGCGAAAAGAACCCCGGCGAGGGGAGUGAAAAAGAACCUGAAACCGUGUACGUACAAGCAGUGGGAGCACGCUUAGGCGUGUGACUGCGUACCUUUUGUAUAAUGGGUCAGCGACUUAUAUUCUGUAGCAAGGUUAACCGAAUAGGGGAGCCGAAGGGAAACCGAGUCUUAACUGGGCGUUAAGUUGCAGGGUAUAGACCCGAAACCCGGUGAUCUAGCCAUGGGCAGGUUGAAGGUUGGGUAACACUAACUGGAGGACCGAACCGACUAAUGUUGAAAAAUUAGCGGAUGACUUGUGGCUGGGGGUGAAAGGCCAAUCAAACCGGGAGAUAGCUGGUUCUCCCCGAAAGCUAUUUAGGUAGCGCCUCGUGAAUUCAUCUCCGGGGGUAGAGCACUGUUUCGGCAAGGGGGUCAUCCCGACUUACCAACCCGAUGCAAACUGCGAAUACCGGAGAAUGUUAUCACGGGAGACACACGGCGGGUGCUAACGUCCGUCGUGAAGAGGGAAACAACCCAGACCGCCAGCUAAGGUCCCAAAGUCAUGGUUAAGUGGGAAACGAUGUGGGAAGGCCCAGACAGCCAGGAUGUUGGCUUAGAAGCAGCCAUCAUUUAAAGAAAGCGUAAUAGCUCACUGGUCGAGUCGGCCUGCGCGGAAGAUGUAACGGGGCUAAACCAUGCACCGAAGCUGCGGCAGCGACGCUUAUGCGUUGUUGGGUA